Molecule: ribosomal RNA, 465 nt
Filed under: Vreelandella stevensii
Lineage: Bacteria; Pseudomonadati; Pseudomonadota; Gammaproteobacteria; Oceanospirillales; Halomonadaceae
Description: partial 16S ribosomal RNA
Rfam family: Bacterial small subunit ribosomal RNA
Source: RNAcentral
CCUACGGGAGGCAGCAGUGGGGAAUAUUGGACAAUGGGGGCAACCCUGAUCCAGCCAUGCCGCGUGUGUGAAGAAGGCCCUCGGGUUGUAAAGCACUUUCAGUGAGGAAGAACGCCUGGUGGUUAAUACCCAUCAGGAAAGACAUCACUCACAGAAGAAGCACCGGCUAACUCCGUGCCAGCAGCCGCGGUAAUACGGAGGGUGCGAGCGUUAAUCGGAAUUACCGGGCGUAAAGCGCGCGUAGGUGGCUUGAUAAGCCGGUUGUGAAAGCCCCGGGCUCAACCUGGGAACGGCAUCCGGAACUGUCAAGCUAGAGUGCAGGAGAGGAAGGUAGAAUUCCCGGUGUAGCGGUGAAAUGCGUAGAGAUCGGGAGGAAUACCAGUGGCGAAGGCGGCCUUCUGGACUGACACUGACACUGAGGUGCGAAAGCGUGGGUAGCAAACAGGAUUAGAUAGCCCAGUAGUC